GGCUUGAUAGCUCAGUUGGUAGAGCAGAGGACUGAAAAUCCUUGUGUCGGCGGUUCAAGUCCGCCUCGAGCCACCA
This 76-nucleotide transfer RNA is filed under the name Pseudobdellovibrionaceae bacterium. Its description in RNAcentral is "Bdellovibrionaceae bacterium (sponge metagenome) tRNA-Phe". It matches the Rfam family "tRNA". From Rfam's summary of the family: Transfer RNA (tRNA) molecules are approximately 80 nucleotides in length. Their secondary structure includes four short double-helical elements and three loops (D, anti-codon, and T loops). Further hydrogen bonds mediate the characteristic L-shaped molecular structure. tRNAs have two regions of fundamental functional importance: the anti-codon, which is responsible for specific mRNA codon recognition, and the 3' end, to which the tRNAs corresponding amino acid is attached (by aminoacyl-tRNA synthetases). tRNAs cope with the degeneracy of the genetic code in two manners: having more than one tRNA (with a specific anti-codon) for a particular amino acid; and 'wobble' base-pairing, i.e. permitting non-standard base-pairing at the 3rd anti-codon position. RNAcentral also lists the same sequence under 1 other name. Lineage: Bacteria; Pseudomonadati; Bdellovibrionota; Bdellovibrionia; Bdellovibrionales; Pseudobdellovibrionaceae. The record is from RNAcentral.